UAUGGGCCCAGUUUUCAAGUUGGUCCAAAUCAGGAUUCCAUAUCAAGUAUUGUGCAAUAGCAAGAAAUUUUCAAUUGCACAGUAUUGCACAAUAGCAAGAAAUAUCUAAUUGCACAAUAUUGUGCAAUAGCAAUUAGUUUUCAAUUGGAGUUAUCUUUCUUUGUAUAGAAUAGUAGUUGAUAAUAUAUGUUGGAAAUUUGCCAGACAUGACUAUGAUGUCAUUUUCUAUUUUUAUUUGCCAAUAACUUUAUGUAAA
This 256-nucleotide long non-coding RNA is filed under the name Mytilus galloprovincialis (Mediterranean mussel). The record is from RNAcentral. Lineage: Eukaryota; Metazoa; Mollusca; Bivalvia; Mytilida; Mytilidae.